CCCGCCCAGGAGACGCGCGAGCUGAGGGUGCCGCGCGCCCUUUACCCACGCCUGUGGGAUCCUCGCCAGCACCUUGCAGAAGAGACGAACUCUGAGGCCGCGAUCCUCCGGACGCACAGCUGGAGAUGGCGGGUGCUAGCUGAACUUACUGCAGUCAUCAUUUCACCAAACCUGUGAGUCAAACCCUGUUGUACACCAUACACUUGCACAGCACUGUGUGUCAGUUGUAUCUCAAUAAAACUAGAGAAGGAAGAAACUGAA
This is a non-coding RNA of Vicugna pacos (alpaca), 261 nucleotides long. The record is from RefSeq and is a predicted model, not a curated record. Lineage: Eukaryota; Metazoa; Chordata; Mammalia; Artiodactyla; Camelidae.